This 468-nucleotide ribosomal RNA is filed under the name uncultured bacterium. RNAcentral describes it as "partial 16S ribosomal RNA". It matches the Rfam family "Bacterial small subunit ribosomal RNA", at positions 28 to 507 of the family's 1533-position model. The record is from RNAcentral.
GACGAACGCUGGCGGCGUGCUUAACACAUGCAAGUCGAACGGAAAGGCCCUGCUUUUGUGGGGUGCUCGAGUGGCGAACGGGUGAGUAACACGUGAGUAACCUGCCCUUGACUUUGGGAUAACUUCAGGAAACUGGGGCUAAUACCGGAUAGGAGCUCCUGCGGCAUGGUGGGGGUUGGAAAGUUUCGGCGGUUGGGGAUGGACUCGCGGCUUAUCAGCUUGUUGGUGGGGUAGUGGCUUACCAAGGCUUUGACGGGUAGCCGGCCUGAGAGGGUGACCGGCCACAUUGGGACUGAGAUACGGCCCAGACUCCUACGGGAGGCAGCAGUGGGGAAUAUUGCACAAUGGGCGGAAGCCUGAUGCAGCAACGCCGCGUGCGGGAUGACGGCCUUCGGGUUGUAAACCGAUUUCGCCUGUGACGAAGCGUGAGUGACGGUAAUGGGUAAAGAAGCACCGGCUAACUACGUG